GAUGAACGCUGGCGGCGUGCCUAAUACAUGCAAGUCGAGCGAACAGACGAGGAGCUUGCUCCUCUGACGUUAGCGGCGGACGGGUGUGUCACACGUGUAUAACCUACCUAUAAGACUGGUAUCACUUCGGGAAACCGGCGCUAAUACCGGAUAAUAUAUUGAACCGCAUGGUUCAAUAGUGAAAGACGGUUUUGCUGUCACUUAUAGAUGGAUCCGCGCCGCAUUAGCUAGUUGGUAAGGUAACGGCUUACCAAGGCAACGAUGCGUAGCCGACGUGAGAGGGUGAUAGGCCACACUGGAACGGAGACACGGUCCAGACGCCUACGGGAGGCAGCAGUAGGGAAUCUUCCGCAAUGGGCGAAAGCCUGACGGAGCAACGCCGAGUGAGAGAUGAAGGUCUUGGGAGCGUAAAACUCUGUUAUUAGGGAAGAACAAAUGUGGAAGGAACUAUGCACGUAGUGACGGUACCUAAUCAGAAAGCCACGGCUAACUACGUG
RNAcentral lists this ribosomal RNA (497 nucleotides) under uncultured bacterium. RNAcentral describes it as "partial 16S ribosomal RNA". It matches the Rfam family "Bacterial small subunit ribosomal RNA", at positions 28 to 507 of the family's 1533-position model. The record is from RNAcentral.